Molecule: ribosomal RNA, 253 nt
Filed under: uncultured bacterium
Lineage: Bacteria
Description: partial 16S ribosomal RNA
Rfam family: Bacterial small subunit ribosomal RNA
Source: RNAcentral
UACGGAGGAUGCAAGCGUUAUCCGGAAUGAUUGGGCGUAAAGCGUCCGCAGGUGGCGAUGUAAGUCUGCUGUUAAAGAGUGAGGCUCAACCUCAUAAGAGCAGUGGAAACUACAUAGCUAGAGUACGUUCGGGGCAGAGGGAAUUCCUGGUGUAGCGGUGAAAUGCGUAGAUAUCUGGAGGAACACCGGUGGCGAAGGCGGCAUCCUGGACCGGUAUUGACACUGAAAAGCGAAAGCCAGGGGAGCAAACGGG